RNAcentral lists this ribosomal RNA (1047 nucleotides) under Salmonella enterica subsp. enterica. RNAcentral describes it as "partial 23S ribosomal RNA". It matches the Rfam family "Bacterial large subunit ribosomal RNA", at positions 711 to 1756 of the family's 2925-position model. The record is from RNAcentral. Lineage: Bacteria; Pseudomonadati; Pseudomonadota; Gammaproteobacteria; Enterobacterales; Enterobacteriaceae. RNAcentral also lists the same sequence under 1 other name.
AGACCCGAAACCCGGUGAUCUAGCCAUGGGCAGGUUGAAGGUUGGGUAACACUAACUGGAGGACCGAACCGACUAAUGUUGAAAAAUUAGCGGAUGACCUGUGGCUGGGGGUGAAAGGCCAAUCAAACCGGGAGAUAGCUGGUUCUCCCCGAAAGCUAUUUAGGUAGCGCCUCGUGAAUUCAUCUCCGGGGGUAGAGCACUGUUUCGGCUAGGGGGCCAUCCCGGCUUACCAACCCGAUGCAAACUGCGAAUACCGGAGAAUGUUAUCACGGGAGACACACGGCGGGUGCUAACGUCCGUCGUGAAGAGGGAAACAACCCAGACCGCCAGCUAAGGUCCCAAAGUCAUGGUUAAGUGGGAAACGAUGUGGGAAGGCCCAGACAGCCAGGAUGUUGGCUUAGAAGCAGCCAUCAUUUAAAGAAAGCGUAAUAGCUCACUGGUCGAGUCGGCCUGCGCGGAAGAUGUAACGGGGCUAAACCAUGCACCGAAGCUGCGGCAGCGACACUGUGUGUUGUUGGGUAGGGGAGCGUUCUGUAAGCCUGUGAAGGUGUGUCGUGAGGCAUGCUGGAGGUAUCAGAAGUGCGAAUGCUGACAUAAGUAACGAUAAAGCGGGUGAAAAGCCCGCUCGCCGGAAGACCAAGGGUUCCUGUCCAACGUUAAUCGGGGCAGGGUGAGUCGACCCCUAAGGCGAGGCCGAAAGGCGUAGUCGAUGGGAAACGGGUUAAUAUUCCCGUACUUGGUGUUACUGCGAAGGGGGGACGGAGAAGGCUAUGUUGGCCGGGCGACGGUUGUCCCGGUUUAAGCGUGUAGGUGUGUGUUCCAGGUAAAUCCGGUUCACUUUAACACUGAGGCGUGACGACGAGGCACUACGGUGCUGAAGCAACAAAUGCCCUGCUUCCAGGAAAAGCCUCUAAGCAUCAGGUAACAUCAAAUCGUACCCCAAACCGACACAGGUGGUCAGGUAGAGAAUACCAAGGCGCUUGAGAGAACUCGGGUGAAGGAACUAGGCAAAAUGGUGCCGUAACUUCGGGAGAAGGCACGCUGACA